GGGGCUGUAGCUCAGUGGAAGAGCAUCUGCUUCCGAUGCAGAGGGUCCCCGGUUCAAUCCCUGGCAGCAUCCA
Molecule: non-coding RNA, 73 nt
Organism: Hemicordylus capensis (graceful crag lizard)
Lineage: Eukaryota; Metazoa; Chordata; Lepidosauria; Squamata; Cordylidae
Source: the annotation of a RefSeq genome assembly